GUAAGUACCAUUACUUAAGUGUCUAUAAACCCAAUAUAUCUCAAAAAAGUAGUGCUUGUGCUUAUUGUUAAGUAUGUUCUAGUAACUGUACAGUUAGAUGGUUAAGUGAGACAUUACUUCUCUAGGUAUACAGGUGAUGGUGCUCCCUUUAGUGAGUCAUUUAAAAUUCUGUAGAUAUGUAAAGAAUUAAUGAUUAUCCAGAGUGGAAGGAUCAGGUUACUCAAGGAGAUCACAAGCAGGGUCAGGAAAUACCCCCUUGAAAAUUAUUUAUGCACCAGGCUAGACUCACCACCAGGAAACAGGAGCUGAGAGGAAAGGCCCUAGGUUUCUGCAAGUUCUGAACCAGCAAAUGUUGUCAUUAGAUGUGUUGGCAUCUAUCCUUGGAAGGAUAUAAUAAAUAAGUAGUUCUACAUGUGGGUGCUGGAGAGGCAAGAUGGUGCCUCAGGUAAAACGGCUGACAGCCAGGCUUGGAAGGAAGGACCGUGGUAAGGGCUGUGCCAAACACUUUCAAGAAUGCAAUUAUAUUAGGAACAGGGAAUUUGGGAUGUGAAGGCUCUUCACUGCAUUUCCUAGGAUGUAUCAAAUCAAAACUAUACUUGCUAAGAUGAACUAUGUAGCCUGUAUUUGAUCUGGUUAUUUUUCUAUAAUUUAAGUGUCUGUUCAAAAUGUCAACUUGUUUUAGGUAUUCUAAGGAGAACUAAAGAGAGAGAUUUGUAUUCAGGUUUGGAACAGAGAGAAAGAAAAGAGCUUCCUUGCUGGGAUAGAGCAGAAAUAGGUAAAGGACAGGAAAAGUUCAAAGGGAGAGAAACAAAUUCAUGGUGUGACAGCAGGAGUAGCUAGGUAGUGAAAGAAGAGGAAAUAUAGAACAUAGUUAUGUCCCAGAACAUUAAUCUACCUCCAAAUCAAGGAAUUCAGUAAGAGAUACUAGGUCUCUAGAAUUCUCCAGCAGAGAAAAACCAUGGUUUAUUUUAUUUUUAUUAUUAUUAUUUUUUGGCUCUUUUGCCAGGCUAGAGUGCAGCAAUGCAAUCUCGGCUCACUGUAACCUCUGCCUCCCAGGUUCGAGCAAUUCUCCUGCCUCAGCCUCCCAAGUAGUUGGGACUACAGGCACGUGCCACCACGCCCAGCUAAUUUUUGAAUUUUUAGUAGAGACUGGGUUUCACCAUUUUGACCAGGAUGAUCUCAAUCUCUUGACCUCGUGAUCCACCCACUUUGGCCUCCCAAAGUGCUGGGAUUACAGGCGUGAGCCACCGCACCUGGCCAACCAACCAUGCUUUGAUUGUCUGUCCCAUUGUGAGUCUAAGAUCCAAAGGACUCCGGAAGAGAUGUUGCCAGCCAUGAACAAGAGUUAAUGGAGAUAAUUUGUUUGCUAUCUGCCUCAUCAAGCAAGAUUGUACUAACCUUUCAGAAAUUUUACAAUUCUCUCCCCCUCACUCCUACCCCACUAUGCUCUAAAAGUUCUAAGGGAAUAUGUUUAACUUUCUAAAUUGUAAUGUGAUAGGACUACUGAAACUUGUCAGGAAAAUAAUUCUGUUUUAGACGGAAGACAAAUUGACAGCCACACCCAGUUUAAUCAAGGAUGUUUCUAUCAUUCUUACUGUUUGCUAAAAGAGAAAGGUAAUUGUGGUUGAUCAUUCAAAACUUUUUAUUAAGAAUAAACUGUAGACUCACAUGUUGCUGGAGUUUAGGGAUACAAUAAUACCCACACAAUUCUUACUCUUCAUGAAUAGCAGUGGGACAAAGAAAAUAAUUCUAAUACAUGAAUAUGAGUCCUAUGUUUUUCUAACUUCAAAAAGCUCUAGAAUGUCAGAGUAGAGACAACUUACCAAUACUGGUCAUCAAGGGUGGCCUCUUAGGAAAGCUCACAUGAUUCUACACAUGUAUUAGGGCAUCACGGACUAACACUGAAUUAGCAAGAUUGAAGGAAACAUAGAUGGGUCCCCACUCUAAAUUUUCUUCUGUCUUUAAAGAUCUAAGGAACUCUAGAAAUUAGCAUAACCAUGAGGCAGUAAAUGAUUAUUAGCUGUGAUGUGUGAUAGGGAUAAGUUUAUAGGCGGUCAGAGGAAAGAAAAGAUCUCCAGGGUUAUCAGCAUGACCAAUUUAUAAAUGACUUAAUUUGGACACUCACUCUGCUACUUUGCCAUCUGCUUUAAAAGAAUUUCCCUUCAUUAUGUACAACACCUGAUCAUGGGGUUGUGCCUAUAUUAAUGGAUGCCUUUUCUUUUAGGAAAGCCUCAUGUGCUCCAUCUUAAGUCGAGCUCCAGAGUCAUUCGAUGUUCAUUCUCUUUGCCACUUGGCAAUUCUAAUCUAUCAACAGAUGUCUGGAUAGAGCACUUUUGUGCAUAGAGCCUUUGAAAGAAGUCGGAGCUAAGGAAACUCACCAGCUUCUUUAGAGACAGAAACUCACAAGACACACACCUUGUGGUCCGAUCUUUAUGGCUGUGUGGGAGAACUACAGUGUGAUUUCAGACUUUUUCUUGACAUGUGGAGUCUGUUAAUCCUGAAACUUCAAAAUGUACAUAUUUCCCCCAAAUGAGAUGUAAGUCUGUUGAGUUAAUUAUCAUACAAUUAUAGCAAUGGAAAAGAAAACCCUAAUCAAACGUGAACAGCUUGUCUAACUAUUAACCAGACCAUGGUGAACCAUUACUUAGCUCUGACUUGCAUGAUCCAUCAUAGACUUUUGGCCCUCUGUGAACAAAUGCUUAAAUGAGUUCAUAGUCAUUUAAAACUGAAAGGCCUGGCUGCCUGGGUUCUUGUGAUUUUCUUGAAAUUGUUUAGUCAUUAUAUUUUACUGGCAUGAAGUUAUGGCUAUCUUCCUCUCUUUUCCACAUGAUAGGAAAGAGCACCCAGGUCAUGGACAUGAAAGACAUAGCUUCCCAGGACUUUGAUCUACUAAAGUGGUGAUUUGUUUUAUAACAUUUCUACUUAUAGUCCCUUAAGCUGCUAAAAAACAUUAGAAGUCAAAUCCCUUUGAAUAAGUUUUCUUUCUAGGAAGAGCCAGAGUCCAAAGCAUUGUAUUCAGGGUGUCUUUUAGUGUUAGUCCAAUUUGCACUAUAUUCAGGAUAAUUCAGCUAUUGCCAGUAUUCUAGCAGUCAAAUACAAAAUGACCCAGGUGAAGCAUGGUGAACUUUUGGUUUACAGUUUUAAAUUCAAGAGGUCAGUUUCGAUUGAUACAAGGAUAUGAAAUUAGGGUUUGUUCUGGUUGAAUAGGUUGAGGUUUAGGACAGGGAAGGAAAAAGAGAAAGGAUAAAGCCAAUCAGAUGGUAUGACAUCACAUUCAAGACUAAAUAAUGAGACUGUGAGCUCAUUUUAUCCUCAGGCACACUGGAAAGUAGGCAUACUAUACAGUAACAGCCAACUUUUUGUUCAUUCUAACUCUUACCACACCGAGCUUUCCUUGGUGUCAGCCACAGGGGUCACUAAGCCAUCAGCUGAUCAAGAAAGUCAAUUGUCUCCUACUGCAAAGAAAGCAUGCCAGCUUCUUGAACAGGAUGGAGUUUUCUGUUUUCUUCUCCUCUGUUUUGCCUGCACAAUACUAGUCUCGCUCUGUCGCCCAGGCUGGAGUGCAGUGGUGCGAUCUCGGCUCAUCGCAAGCUCCGCCUCCUGGGUUCACACCAUUCUCCUCUCUCAGUCUCCCGAGUAGCUGGACUACAGGUGCCCGCUCUCAGGCCUCUGAGCCCAAGCCAAGCCAUCGCAUCCCCUGUGACUUGCACGUAUAUGCCCAGAUGGCCUGAAGUAACUGAAGAAUCACAAAAGAAGUGAAUAUGCCCUGCCCCACCUUAACUGAUGACAUUCCACCAUAAAAGAAGUGGACGCGCAUGAAAUUUGGUGCCGCGACUCAGAUCGGGGGACCUCCCUUAGGAGAUCAAUCCCCUGUCCUCCUGUUCUUUGCUCCGUGAGAAAGAUCCACCUAUGACCUCAGGUCCUCAGACCGGACCAGCCCAAGGAACAUCUCACCAAUUUUAAAUCAGGUUCCCACGCCGACCCUAAUGCCGCUUGAAGCAGCCCUGAGAAACAUCGCCCAUUCUCUCUCUCCAUAUCACCCCCCAAAAAUUUUUGCCACCCCAACACUUCAACACUAUUUUGUUUUAUUUUUCUUAUUAAUAUAAGAAGGCAGGAAUGUCAGGCCUCUGAGCCCAAGCCAAGCCAUCGCAUCCCCUGUGACUUGCACGUAUACGCCCAGAUGGCCUGAAGUAACUGAAGAAUCACAAAAGAAGUGAAUAUGCCCUGCCUCACCUUAGCUGAUGACAUUCUACCACAAAAGAAGUGUAAAUGGCCAGUCCUUGCCUUAAGUGAUGACAUUACCUUGUGAAAGUCCUUUCCCUGGCUCAUCCUGGCUCAAAAAGCACCCCCACUGAGCACCUUGCCACCCCCACUCCUGCCCGCCAGAGAACAAACCCUCUUUGACUGUAAUUUUCCUUUACCUUCCCAAAUCCUAUAAAACGGCCCCACCCUUAUCUCCCUUCGCUGACUCUCUUUUCAGACUCAGCCCGCCUGCACCCAGGUGAUUAAAAGCUUUAUUGCUCACACAAAGCCUGUUUGGUGGUCUCUUCACAGGGACGCGCAUGAAACCCGCCACCACGCCCGGCUAAUUUUUUGUAUUUUUAGUAGAGAAGGGGUUUCACCAUGUUAGCCAAGAUGGUCUCAAUCUCCUGACCUUGUGAUCCACCCUCCUCAGCCUCCCAAAGUGCUGGGAUCACAGGCGUGAGCCACCGUGCCCGGCCGUAAGUAGUAAUUUGAAUGAUUUCUACGUCAAAGAUAUGGCUACAGGCCAAGAAAAUACAGUGGUGGGUUAACAGACACAGUCUUGGCCCUAAAAAGGUUUACAGUCUAGUGGGAGAAGUAGCCUCAAAUAAGGGACUAGACAAA
RNAcentral lists this long non-coding RNA (4866 nucleotides) under Homo sapiens (human). RNAcentral's name for it is "HSALNT0070131". Lineage: Eukaryota; Metazoa; Chordata; Mammalia; Primates; Hominidae. The record is from RNAcentral.